RNAcentral lists this ribosomal RNA (1687 nucleotides) under Klebsiella pneumoniae. RNAcentral's name for it is "partial 23S ribosomal RNA". It matches the Rfam family "Bacterial large subunit ribosomal RNA", at positions 1271 to 2925 of the family's 2925-position model. Lineage: Bacteria; Pseudomonadati; Pseudomonadota; Gammaproteobacteria; Enterobacterales; Enterobacteriaceae. The record is from RNAcentral.
UGCUGGAGGUAUCAGAAGUGCGAAUGCUGACAUAAGUAACGAUAAAGCGGGUGAAAAGCCCGCUCGCCGGAAGACCAAGGGUUCCUGUCCAACGUUAAUCGGGGCAGGGUGAGUCGACCCCUAAGGCGAGGCCGAAAGGCGUAGUCGAUGGGAAACAGGUUAAUAUUCCUGUACUUGGUGUUACUGCGAAGGGGGGACGGAGAAGGCUAUGUUAGCCGGGCGACGGUUGUCCCGGUUUAAGCAUGUAGGCUGAUUAUCCAGGCAAAUCCGGAUAAUCAAGGCUGAGGUGUGAUGACGAGGCACUACGGUGCUGAAGUAACAAAUGCCCUGCUUCCAGGAAAAGCCUCUAAGCAUCAGGUAACAUCAAAUCGUACCCCAAACCGACACAGGUGGUCAGGUAGAGAAUACCAAGGCGCUUGAGAGAACUCGGGUGAAGGAACUAGGCAAAAUGGUGCCGUAACUUCGGGAGAAGGCACGCUGGUGUGUAGGUGAAGCCCCUGCGGGUGGAGCUGAGACCAGUCGAAGAUACCAGCUGGCUGCAACUGUUUAUUAAAAACACAGCACUGUGCAAACACGAAAGUGGACGUAUACGGUGUGACGCCUGCCCGGUGCCGGAAGGUUAAUUGAUGGGGUUAUCCGUAAGGAGAAGCUCUUGAUCGAAGCCCCGGUAAACGGCGGCCGUAACUAUAACGGUCCUAAGGUAGCGAAAUUCCUUGUCGGGUAAGUUCCGACCUGCACGAAUGGCGUAAUGAUGGCCAGGCUGUCUCCACCCGAGACUCAGUGAAAUUGAACUCGCUGUGAAGAUGCAGUGUACCCGCGGCAAGACGGAAAGACCCCGUGAACCUUUACUAUAGCUUGACACUGAACAUUGAGCCUUGAUGUGUAGGAUAGGUGGGAGGCUUUGAAGCGUGGACGCCAGUCUGCGUGGAGCCAACCUUGAAAUACCACCCUUUAAUGUUUGAUGUUCUAACGUUGGCCCCUGACCGGGGUUGCGGACAGUGUCUGGUGGGUAGUUUGACUGGGGCGGUCUCCUCCCAAAGCGUAACGGAGGAGCACGAAGGUUAGCUAAUCCUGGUCGGACAUCAGGAGGUUAGUGCAAUGGCAUAAGCUAGCUUGACUGCGAGCGUGACGGCGCGAGCAGGUGCGAAAGCAGGUCAUAGUGAUCCGGUGGUUCUGAAUGGAAGGGCCAUCGCUCAACGGAUAAAAGGUACUCCGGGGAUAACAGGCUGAUACCGCCCAAGAGUUCAUAUCGACGGCGGUGUUUGGCACCUCGAUGUCGGCUCAUCACAUCCUGGGGCUGAAGUAGGUCCCAAGGGUAUGGCUGUUCGCCAUUUAAAGUGGUACGCGAGCUGGGUUUAGAACGUCGUGAGACAGUUCGGUCCCUAUCUGCCGUGGGCGCUGGAGAAUUGAGGGGGGCUGCUCCUAGUACGAGAGGACCGGAGUGGACGCAUCACUGGUGUUCGGGUUGUCAUGCCAAUGGCACUGCCCGGUAGCUAAAUGCGGAAGAGAUAAGUGCUGAAAGCAUCUAAGCACGAAACUUGCCCCGAGAUGAGUUCUCCCUGAGACUUUAAGUCUCCUGAAGGAACGUUGAAGACGACGACGUUGAUAGGCCGGGUGUGUAAGCGCAGCGAUGCGUUGAGCUAACCGGUACUAAUGAACCGUGAGGCUUAACCUUACAACGCCGAAG